GAUAUUAAAAGUAUCGAGGAAACCGCACGGAGGCCUGGUGGCAGUUGGACUUCUUACGUGGUGUCUCAGGGUUCCAAGCACAAGCGUUCCCAGUGAGCAAGGCGGAAACUGCAUGGCCUCUUCUGAAUCUCUGUUCACACCCUUCAUUUUUCCUUGUUGGUCUUCAACUUUUGUGUCAAUAAUUGAGACAUACCAGCAACUCUCCCCAAUUUCAGGGGUAGGAGCCUGUCAUGCCAUUUACCUAAAGAAGCUCAUCUUCUCAGUACAUCUGGUUUCCUUGAGGACAAGACGCAACACAAGGAGAGAAGCCCAGGGAAAGGGAGGAGGACAAAAGAGCUGAGCAGAAGACUGAGGCUAUUGAGCCGUCCAGUCCAGUCCAGUCCAGCCACUGGCUGGCUCCCUCUGGCAAAUGAACACCGGGAAGGAGGCUACAGCGACCUGAGGUGUGCCGCAAACAUAAAAUAUAUGCUGGAUUUCAAAGAUGUACUAUACAGAAAGCAAGCAAAAUACCGUAUCAGUGGCUUUUUAGAGUGACACGUUGAAAUGGUAACAUAUGGGAUAUAUAGGGACAGAUAUUAAUUUCACCUGUUUCUUCUUGCUUUAAAUGGAACUGACAAUAGCUAAAUUUACCAAUGUGGCUUGCAUUGUUUCUACCAGAGGUGGCUGUUUUAAGUGGCUUAUAAAUGAGUAUGAGAUUAAUUCCAGAAAAGGGAGAGGAGGCACUGCACAAGCAUACUGGGGACGGUUGGAAGACUAUUUGUAAUGUCCUUCCCCCAAGGGAGAAAUUUCAAGUUGACUGGAAACUUAUAUCCCAGCACUGUGACUGGAAAACCAGGCCAACUGAUAUAACCCUGAUGGUUGGUGACCAAAUCCAGCCAAUGUAAUUUAAAUAUGGGUUCUAAUGAGGAUGGCAAGUCACCAUUCAAGGGUCGUGGUUGUAAGAGAGACUGCUGUCAGUGGAUUCAGGAUUUAAUGUAAUACUAUGGACCUUCAAGAUAAAUUAUACAAAAACAAAAGCUUGUCUAAACACCAGGAAGAAGAAUCAAUGGAAACAAUCAAGAGAGGAUUACCUUGUACAUUUCUCAAAAGAGAUAAACCUUGCAAAACAUAAGAUUCCAAUGUGGAGGUGUUGUUCACAAGAUGGUGGCUUAACAAAGGAAAUCUUCCUUUUUGUGAAACAGCAACAUCUGUGUUUCUAAUGCCUGUGAGUCCUGUAGAGAAAUUUAUAGUCACCUUGCACCAUUCAUAAGCACCCCUCCCAAGAAUGUAAUGUGCAAUAAUGAUAAAUUCUGAGUGUAUCUGGUUCUUGUAUAUAAAGAGCAUCUGCUUUGAAAAUCUCUAGUUUGGAAUAUCGUGAAUCCUUGGACAGAAGCCAUCUCCAGAUCUGCUACAUUUUUUUUUUUUUUUCCCAUUUCUCUUUUCUGUAGGUUCUAUGAUGUAGCAUUAGUGGGCACCCAUGACUGAAAGUCCUCAACACUAACUCCACACCUCCCUACUACUGUCUGGAUGAUCUGAUAUCCGGGGAUGGGUGACCUAACUCCACACCUCCCUAC
This is a long non-coding RNA of Mirounga angustirostris (Northern elephant seal), 1553 nucleotides long. RefSeq lists it as uncharacterized. The transcript is spliced from 2 exons. Lineage: Eukaryota; Metazoa; Chordata; Mammalia; Carnivora; Phocidae. The record is from RefSeq and is a predicted model, not a curated record.